Molecule: ribosomal RNA, 497 nt
Filed under: uncultured bacterium
Lineage: Bacteria
Description: partial 16S ribosomal RNA
Rfam family: Bacterial small subunit ribosomal RNA
Source: RNAcentral
GAUGAACGCUGGCGGCGUGCCUAAUACAUGCAAGUCGAGCGAACGGACGAGAAGCUUGCUUUUCUGAUGUUAGCGGCGGACGGGUGAGUAACACGUGGAUAACCUACCUAUAAGACUGGGAUAACUUCGGGAAACCGGAGCUAAUACCGGAUAAUAUUUUGAACCGCAUGGUUCAAAAGUGAAAGACGGUUUUGCUGUCACUUAUAGAUGGAUCCGCGCUGCAUUAGCUAGUUGGUAAGGUAACGGCUUACCAAGGCAACGAUGCAUAGCCGACCUGAGAGGGUGAUCGGCCACACUGGAACUGAGACACGGUCCAGACUCCUACGGGAGGCAGCAGUAGGGAAUCUUCCGCAAUGGGCGAAAGCCUGACGGAGCAACGCCGCGUGAGUGAUGAAGGUCUUCGGAUCGUAAAACUCUGUUAUUAGGGAAGAACAAAUGUGUAAGUAACUGUGCACAUCUUGACGGUACCUAAUCAGAAAGCCACGGCUAACUACGUG